CGCAAGAUUAAAACUCAAAUGAAUUGACGGGGGCCCGCACAAGCGGUGGAGCAUGUGGUUUAAUUCGAUGCAACGCGAAGAACCUUACCUACUCUUGACAUCCAGAGAACUUUCCAGAGAUGGAUUGGUGCCUUCGGGAACUCUGAGACAGGUGCUGCAUGGCUGUCGUCAGCUCGUGUUGUGAAAUGUUGGGUUAAGUCCCGCAACGAGCGCAACCCUUAUCCUUGUUUGCCAGCGAGUAAUGUCGGGAACUCCAGGGAGACUGCCGGUGAUAAACCGGAGGAAGGUGGGGACGACGUCAAGUCAUCAUGGCCCUUACGAGUAGGGCUACACACGUGCUACAAUGGCGCAUACAGAGGGCGGCCAACUUGCGAAAGUGAGCGAAUCCCAAAAAGUGCGUCGUAGUCCGGAUCGGAGUCUGCAACUCGACUCCGUGAAGUCGGAAUCGCUAGUAAUCGUGGAUCAGAAUGCCACGGUGAAUACGUUCCCGGGCCUUGUACACACCGCCCGUCACACCAUGGGAGUGGGCUGCAAAAGAAGUGGGUAGUUUAACCUUCGGGAGGACGCUCA
This 570-nucleotide ribosomal RNA is filed under the name Vibrio sp. RNAcentral's name for it is "bacterial SSU rRNA". It matches the Rfam family "Bacterial small subunit ribosomal RNA", at positions 887 to 1456 of the family's 1533-position model. Lineage: Bacteria; Pseudomonadati; Pseudomonadota; Gammaproteobacteria; Vibrionales; Vibrionaceae. The record is from RNAcentral.